AAAUUGAAGAGUUUGAUCAUGGCUCAGAUUGAACGCUGGCGGCAGGCCUAACACAUGCAAGUCGAACGGUAGCACAGAGAGCUUGCUCUCGGGUGACGAGUGGCGGACGGGUGAGUAAUGUCUGGGAAACUGCCUGAUGGAGGGGGAUAACUACUGGAAACGGUGGCUAAUACCGCAUAACGUCGCAAGACCAAAGAGGGGGACCUUCGGGCCUCUUGCCAUCAGAUGUGCCCAGAUGGGAUUAGCUGGUUGGUGAGGUAACGGCUCACCAAGGCGACGAUCCCUAGCUGGUCUGAGAGGAUGACCAGCCACACUGGAACUGAGACACGGUCCAGACUCCUACGGGAGGCAGCAGUGGGGAAUAUUGCACAAUGGGCGCAAGCCUG
Molecule: ribosomal RNA, 386 nt
Filed under: Salmonella enterica
Lineage: Bacteria; Pseudomonadati; Pseudomonadota; Gammaproteobacteria; Enterobacterales; Enterobacteriaceae
Description: bacterial SSU rRNA
Rfam family: Bacterial small subunit ribosomal RNA
Source: RNAcentral